UUUUAACCGAAAAUACUUUUAAAACAGUUUAAAACAAACGGUAAAAAGCAAAAAUAUGCUAAAUUAUAUACAAUUUUCCAUGCUAAACUGCUGUAGUUUGAACAAUUCUCGGCCGUUUUUCAAGUUUUUUACAUCAUACGACUUCUUUCUGAAGGUACAGGUUUUAUAUGAUACAGCGCCACCUUCUUAUUAAUAAACCUCGGAUUUCACCCAGGUACUUUAUAAUUACCGGACUCGAUAAAAUCACGUGAUUGAUAAGAAAUUCCAGAUGCCAUUUUACAACCGCAGUAUCACAGAUAGUAACCAAAGGGGUCUUACCGCUGAGACUAUAAUUGGAUAAAAUCAUAUGACUUUAGUACAGGGCUCUGCAGGCCGUUCAUACAUGCUAAUUAGUCGAUGUUAUUCCUUUUAAAUAUUACUUCCAUGGUUGAA
RNAcentral lists this long non-coding RNA (432 nucleotides) under Mytilus galloprovincialis (Mediterranean mussel). The record is from RNAcentral. Lineage: Eukaryota; Metazoa; Mollusca; Bivalvia; Mytilida; Mytilidae.